GCCGGGUGCAGUGGCAUGUGCUUGUUGUCCCAGCUACUUGGGAGGCUGAGGUGGGAGGACUGCUUGAGCCCAGGAGUUCUGGACUGUAGUGUGCUAUGCCGAUUGGGUGUCCUCACUAAGUUCAGCAUCAAUAUGGUGACCUCCUGGGAACGGGGGACCACCAGGUUGCCUAAGGAGGGGUUAAUCAGCCCAGGUCGGAAACGGAACAGGUCAAAACUCCCACGCUGGCUGAUCAGUAAUGGGAUCGUGCCUGUGAAUAGCCACUGCAUUCCAGCCUGGGCAACAUAGCGAGACCCCGUCUCUU
Callithrix jacchus (white-tufted-ear marmoset) is the source of this 304-nucleotide unclassified non-coding RNA. It matches the Rfam family "Metazoan signal recognition particle RNA". From Rfam's summary of the family: The signal recognition particle (SRP) is a universally conserved ribonucleoprotein. It is involved in the co-translational targeting of proteins to membranes. Lineage: Eukaryota; Metazoa; Chordata; Mammalia; Primates; Cebidae. The record is from Ensembl.